GAUGAACGCUGACAGAAUGCUUAACACAUGCAAGUCGAUGGGGAAGUGGUGCUUGCACCCUGGUAACCAUGGCGGACGGGUGAGUAACACGUAAGGAACUUACCUGCGGGACCGGGAUAACAGCAGGAAACUGCUGACAAGACCGGAUAAGGUCAUUAAGCUGCAUAGCUUAGUGAUGAAAGGAGACGCCUGCGGAGAGCCUUGCGUCCUAUUAGCUAGUUGGAGGGGUAACGGCCCACCAAGGCGAAGAUAGGUAGCCGGCCUGAGAGGGUGGACGGCCACAAGGGGGCUGAGAUACGGCCCUUACUCCUACGGGAGGCAGCAGUGGGGAAUAUUGGACAAUGGGGGCAACCCUGAUCCAGCAAUUCUGUGUGCACGAAGACGGUUUUCGGAUUGUAAAGUGCUUUCAGCAGGGAAGAAGGAAGUGACGGUACCUGCAGAAGAAGCGACGGCUAAAUACGUG
This 463-nucleotide ribosomal RNA is filed under the name uncultured bacterium. RNAcentral describes it as "partial 16S ribosomal RNA". It matches the Rfam family "Bacterial small subunit ribosomal RNA", at positions 28 to 507 of the family's 1533-position model. The record is from RNAcentral.